Molecule: ribosomal RNA, 492 nt
Filed under: uncultured bacterium
Lineage: Bacteria
Description: partial 16S ribosomal RNA
Rfam family: Bacterial small subunit ribosomal RNA
Source: RNAcentral
AUUGAACGCUGGCGGCAUGCUUUACACAUGCAAGUCGAACGGUAACAGGCCUUCGGGUGCUGACGAGUGGCGAACGGGUGAGUAAUGCAUCGGAACGUACCCAGAGGUGGGGGAUAACGCAGCGAAAGCUGUGCUAAUACCGCAUGUGAUCUGAGGAUGAAAGCGGGGGACCGCGCAGCAAUGUUUGGCCUCGCGCCUUUGGAGCGGCCGAUGUCGGAUUAGCUAGUUGGGGGGGUAAAGGCCUACCAAGGCGACGAUCCGUAGCUGGUCUGAGAGGACGACCAGCCACACUGGGACUGAGACACGGCCCAGACUCCUACGGGAGGCAGCAGUGGGGAAUUUUGGACAAUGGGCGCAAGCCUGAUCCAGCAAUGCCGCGUGCGGGAAGAAGGCCUUCGGGUUGUAAACCGCUUUUGGCAGGAACGAAACGGUGUCCGCUAAUACCGGGCGCUAAUGACGGUACCUGCAGAAUAAGCACCGGCUAACUACGUG